Molecule: ribosomal RNA, 733 nt
Filed under: uncultured archaeon
Lineage: Archaea
Description: bacterial SSU rRNA
Rfam family: Archaeal small subunit ribosomal RNA
Source: RNAcentral
UUUCCGGUUGAUCCCGCCGGAGGCUACCGCUAUUGGAGUUCGAUUAAGCCAUGCGAGUCGCGAGUCUUAGGGACUCGGCGUACCGCUCAGUAACACGUGGGUAACCUGCCCUAUGCUGGGGGAUAACCUCGGGAAACUGAGAAUAAUACCCCAUAGUUCACCACGCCUGGAACGGUGGGUGGAUCAAAGCUCCGGCGGCAUAGGAUGGGCCUGCGGCGUAUCAGGUUGUAGGGGGUGUAAUGUACCCUCUAGCCCUCUACGCGUACGGGUGUUGAGAGACAUCGCCCGGAGAUGGAUUCUGAGACACGAAUCCAGACCCCACGGGGUGCAGCAGGCGCGAAAACUUGGCAAUGCGAGAAAUCGUGACCAGGGAACUCCAAGUGCAUCGGGUAAGACCGAUGCUUUUCUUGACUCUUCAAAGGUCUUGGAAUAAGGGGUGGGUAAGGACGGUGCCAGCCGCCGCGGUAAUACCGGCGCCCCAAGUGGUAGUCGCUUUUAUUGGGCCUAAAACGUCCGUAGCCGGUCUGGUACAUUCGUGGGUAAAUCAACCAGCUCAACUGGUUGAAUUCUGCGAGCACGGCCAGACUUGGGACCGGGAGAGGUGUGGGGUACUCUCAGGGUAGGGGUAAAAUCCUGUCAUCCUGAGAGGACCACCUGUUGCGAAGGCGCCACACUAGAACGGAUCCGACGGUCAGGGACGAAGCCUAGGGGCACGAACCGGAUUAGAUACCCA